RNAcentral lists this ribosomal RNA (801 nucleotides) under uncultured Pelagibacteraceae bacterium. RNAcentral describes it as "bacterial SSU rRNA". It matches the Rfam family "Bacterial small subunit ribosomal RNA", at positions 41 to 890 of the family's 1533-position model. Lineage: Bacteria; Pseudomonadati; Pseudomonadota; Alphaproteobacteria; Candidatus Pelagibacterales; Candidatus Pelagibacteraceae. The record is from RNAcentral.
GGCACGCCUAAUACAUGCAAGUCGAACGAAGUAGCAAUACUUAGUGGCAGACGGGUGAGUAACAUGUAGGUAUCUUCCCUAUGGUGAGGAAUAACACGAGGAAACUUGUGCUAAUACCUCAUAAGUCUUUACGGAGAAAGCUUUAUGCGCCAUUGGAUGAGCCUGCACUUGAUUAGUUUGUUGGUGGGGUAAUAGCCUACCAAGACUAUGAUCAAUAGCUGAUUUGAGAGGAUGAUCAGCCACAUUGGGACUGAGACACGGCCCAAACUCCUACGGGAGGCAGCAGUAGGGAAUCUUGCACAAUGGGGGAAACCCUGAUGCAGCGAUGCCGCGUGAGUGAAGAAGGCCUUUGGGUUGUAAAGCUCUUUCGUCGGGGAAGAAAAUGACUGUACCCGAAUAAGAAGGUCCGGCUAACUUCGUGCCAGCAGCCGCGGUAAUACGAAGGGACCUAGCGUAGUUCGGAAUUACUGGGCUUAAAGAGUUCGUAGGUGGUUAAAAAAGUUGGUGGUGAAAUCCCAGAGCUUAACUCUGGAACUGCCAUCAAAACUUUUUAGCUAGAGUAUGAUAGAGGAAAGCAGAAUUUCUAGUGUAGAGGUGAAAUUCGUAGAUAUUAGAAAGAAUACCAAUUGCGAAGGCAGCUUUCUGGAUCAUUACUGACGCUGAGGAACGAAAGCAUGGGUAGCGAAGAGGAUUAGAUACCCUCGUAGUCCAUGCCGUAAACGAUGUGUGUUAGACGUUGGAAAUUUAUUUUCAGUGUCGCAGCGAAAGCAAUAAACACACCGCCUGGGGAGUACGACCGCA